Long non-coding RNA from Mercenaria mercenaria, 2279 nucleotides. RefSeq lists it as uncharacterized. The transcript has 2 exons. The record is from RefSeq and is a predicted model, not a curated record. NCBI's taxonomy places the organism in Eukaryota, Metazoa, Mollusca, Bivalvia, Venerida, Veneridae.
GGGUCAUUUGUCUUUUCUGUUAUUUAUGUUUCAUCAAGGUAUAUAUCAUGAUAUUCCACUUUCAUUUAUCAUUAUAUUCAUAUUCAUCUCCUAUAAACCCCAUAAUUUUCAUUUCAUCACUAAAUCCAAUAGAGUCCUAUAACUAACAUGUAUCUAAUAUAGGUAACGGGCCUCCGUUAUUUACCUAACCGCCAAUUGUUUGUCACGCAUGCGCACAUCAGUAGAGAGAUUAUACGUGAGGACGUAAAAUCUUUGUGUCUCGACUUAUUUAUUUAUUUGUGCUGUUUGCGUGCCCCUUUCAGGUAACCUAUGUACAUGUUUAGUUAUAUAAAGCAAUGUUCUUCAUUUUGCUAUUCAUCAUUUUCCAUAUUUCGUUGUAUUUUGAAAUUAUGCAUUUGUUGUAAUGCGCACAUCAGUAGAGAGAUUAUACGUGAGGACGUAAAAUCUUUGUGUCUCGACUUAUUUAUUUAUUUGUGCUGUUUGCGUGCCCCUUUCAGGUCACUAACAUACAGACCUGAAGAGAACCUACAAAUCCCGACUAUCUGAACGGGUAACAAAUUGGUGGCCAGUGUUACUUUGGGUCGACAUGUUACGGUACGAACAGAAAUAGGUGCGAAAGGGUACCGAAGUGGCAUGACGUCAGAGGGCAUUCCUCCAUUCAGCCAAUCAAAACGCCAGAAGUGGUGAAGCACAAAUUGUGCAUACGUCAUACAAUAGUUACACUUUCCACGGAUAUCCUCAGGAAUUUAUACAUGCAGUUUUGAAAAUCUAUUAAAUAUUUUAGAAUUGUGAAUAAUAUAUCCGGAUAUAAACUUCGUUAUCGGAUGCUCCUGUAUGCUUAAACUCUGCAUACAUUUUCUUAAAACUGAAUUGUGUUAGAGUUGGUUGUUGUUUGAAGCUGGUGUGUGUUGAAAGCCGAGAGAGUCACAGUCCCUACACAGAGUACACGGAGCUGCAUGAAGUAUUACAGUAACAUUUGGUGUUGGUGAGACUAAUAUUAACCCUCAGGACCAAGGAAUAGUAGUCGUACCAGAGUUAAACCAGCUUGGUUGUCAUCAACUGACUGGGUUACUUAGGCCCAUUACCUUGACUACCAGCUAUGAUGAUAGACAGCUUUCAUUUCAGACAGUAUGUUAGUGUAUUUGACACUUUUAAUAAGUGAGUGACUACAAUAAUUCAUUGUGUGAAUAGACGUAUAGUUGUAUUUUAUAGUCAUGUAUAGACAGCAAUUUGGAUCUUAAUUGGAUUUUUUUUUAUAACUCGGGCUGUUCUUUCAGUUUUUAAUUAUUCAUGCCGGAUAUCAAUUAGACAUAUUAAAUCUUCAAUACUUGAAGUACUGUGGAUAUGUGUGUAAUUAUUGUACUUGUGUACAAUCAGUCUUGCAUUUCAUUGUCAGUUGAUUAUGUUGCUGAAAUAAAACAACAAGAUAUAAGCUGUUACCAGACAAUAAAUUGAGUUUACCAUCUUUAUUCCAUGAGGAAUAAGGAAUUCAUAUAACCUGAAUUAUGAUAGUACUGCAGACUAUUAUAAUUCCCCACAUUUAAUCAAUUUCCAGUUCGGCAGUUAAACACCGAAUAUUUGGAAUUAAGGUGUUACAAACAUUUCCGUAUUAACAUACGCAAAUGUUCAUACCUUAUAUUGACAUAAAUCUCUUUAAAUUUCUCCAAGUUUAAAUGUUGGUGAAAAGUUGAGAUAUUGACUAUAAUUGUAGAGUAUAGACAGUACUGGCUCUUGUGCAUUCUCGUAAGUAAUGAUAAAAUAUAAUGUAGAAGUAGAGUAGUUGGACGACUAGAAAUGUCGGGACGACAUUUUACUGGAGGGGGGAGGAUGUCACGGGGUCAUUUGUCUUUUCUGUUAUUUAUGUUUCAUCAAGGUAUAUAUCAUGAUAUUCCACUUUCAUUUAUCAUUAUAUUCAUAUUCAUCUCCUAUAAACCCCAUAAUUUUCAUUUCAUCACUAAAUCCAAUAGAGUCCUAUAACUAACAUGUAUCUAAUAUAGGUGACGGGCCUCCGUUAUUUACCUAACCGCCAAUUGUUUGUCACGCAUGCGCACAUCAGUAGAGAGAUUAUACGUGAGGACGUAAAAUCUUUGUGUCUCGACUUAUUUAUUUAUUUGUGCUGUUUGCGUGCCCCUUUCAGGUAACCUAUGUACAUGUUUAGUUAUAUAAAGCAAUGUUCUUCAUUUUGCUAUUCAUCAUUUUCCAUAUUUCGUUGUAUUUUGAAAUUAUGCAUUUGUUGUAAUGCGCACAUCAGUAGAGAGAUUAUACGUGAGGACGUAAAA